UUCUUCCACAAGAAUUGGUUGCUGAAAAUGCUUUUUCUCAUUCCUUGCGAGAUGCCUCUGAAGGAAACUGUGUGUUAGACAAUUCAGAAACAAGUACUGAUAUCGUCGACAGCAGCUGUGAUGACCAUGCCCAAAAUAUUAGAAGCGUUGCGAAAAACCUAAA
Molecule: long non-coding RNA, 163 nt
Organism: Daphnia magna
Lineage: Eukaryota; Metazoa; Arthropoda; Branchiopoda; Diplostraca; Daphniidae
Exons: 2
Source: RefSeq, a predicted model, not a curated record